RNAcentral lists this ribosomal RNA (301 nucleotides) under uncultured bacterium. RNAcentral describes it as "partial 16S ribosomal RNA". It matches the Rfam family "Bacterial small subunit ribosomal RNA", at positions 509 to 807 of the family's 1533-position model. The record is from RNAcentral.
CAGCAGCCACGGUAAUACGUAGGGUGCAAGCGUUAAUCGGAAUUACUGGGCGUAAAGCGUGCGCAGGCGGUUAUAUAAGUCAGAUGUGAAAUCCCCGGGCUCAACCUGGGAACUGCAUUUGAGACUGUAUGGCUAGAGUGUGUCAGAGGGGGGUAGAAUUCCACGUGUAGCAGCGAAAUGCGUAGAUAUGUGGAGGAAUACCGAUGGCGAAGGCAGCCCCCUGGGAUAACACUGACGCUCAUGCACGAAAGCGUGGGGAGCAAACAGGAUUAGAUACCCCAGUAGUCCCUGUCUCUUAUAC